AGGCAGAUACUGGGAAGAGCCAAGCUGGGAGCAGCUUGGGGACACGUGGAGGAGACACCACCACGCCAGUGCACACAGCCCAGACCUGCAUGUCCUGCACCAUCCUGGAUCUCCGAGGAGCCCGAGGAAACGGAGGACCCUGACGCUGCCUUCAUGCAACCUCCCAGCCAUGCUGCUGUGGGGGAUGCCUUCAUGGGGCCGUUGCCGUUGGCCUGCCUAAGGGAGACCUUUGUGCUUUUGCAGGAAGAUGGCGUGGCUCUCCCCAGCCCAGCCUGGCACCCCCCUAAGUCCCCACCAGGACAGGCAGAUGGGUGUCAGAGUCAGCCCAUGCCUGUGCCAGUGCUGGAGCUGGCAGUUGCCCGGCA
Molecule: long non-coding RNA, 365 nt
Organism: Alligator mississippiensis (American alligator)
Lineage: Eukaryota; Metazoa; Chordata; Crocodylia; Alligatoridae
Exons: 3
Source: RefSeq, a predicted model, not a curated record